ACAUAGGCUCCUGGUAAAUAAAGUGUUAACUGCCGUCUCAAUGUACAGAGAGGGCGUUCGCAUGCGAACUAACAAAAUAAAGAGUAAAUUCAAAGUUACAUUCUUAACAAGAUCGAAGUAGAGAGACGGGGAGAUAACGGCAGGAUAGGAGAAGAGAAAACGUAAUUUAUCCAAAAGCUGUGCGAUAGCCGGAGCGAGCAGAGGGAUAGGGAGAAGCGGGAUAGUAGGAGAGUGGAAAGAGAAGGAGACGAGACCUCGUAAAGAAGCGCGUUGGAAAGAGAGGAAAGGGAAUCGACUACCAACACCACGCGAUCCGAAACGCUCUCGCGGAGCUUCGUUAUCUCUAACCUUCCGGUAUUAUCGUCGUUCCAUCGGAUCUCCGUUUCUACGUUUCGUCGCUCGCGUUCAUCCUCGCCUCGACGGCCAACAAAGAAAACAACAACAACGAAGUGACCUCAAGGAAGUUACUUGAAGAAACGUUUCGUUCGCGUUGGACACAUCGAGUCGAUCGCGAGUGCUGCGUGUGUCGUGCGAGUUUAUCCAAACAGCACGGGAACGUGCGACCGUGGAAUCGAUUCCGUUUCAAACAUUAAGGAGACAGAGAGCGUUGGGAAUUCGACGAAGUUGAAAGAGUUCGAGAAGAAAAGAGUUAGAGUUAGUAAACUGAGAUUGGUUAAUUUUCUAGAAAAUUGAAACAUUUAGAAAACAAAAACGUUGGCAAUCCUUUCGCGACGAAUUUGAAAGAGUUGAGUUAAAGAAGAAAAGAGUUAGAGAAGUAAAGAGUCAACUUUGACUGUUAGUAGACUGUAAUAGGUAGAUUUUCUAGAAAAUUGAAACAUUAAGGUGACGAAAACGUUGGCAAUCCUUUCGCGACGAAUUUGACAAAGUUAAAGAAGAAAAGAGUUCGAGAAGGAAAGAGUUAGAGUUAGUAAACUGAGAUUGGUCAAUUUUCUAGAAAAUUGAAACAUUAAGGUGACGAAAAUGUUGGCAAUCCUUUCGCGACGAAUUUGAAAGAGUUAAAGAAGAAAAGAGUUAAAGAAGAAAAGAGUUAGAGAAGUAAAGAGUCAACUUUGACUGUUAGUAAACUGUAAUAGGUAGGUUUUCUAGAAAAUCGAAACAUGGAGGAGAGGAGAGCGUUGGGAAUUCCUUUGCGACGAAUUUGAAAGAGUUAAAGUAGAAAAGAG
Long non-coding RNA from Hylaeus anthracinus, 1184 nucleotides. RefSeq lists it as uncharacterized. Lineage: Eukaryota; Metazoa; Arthropoda; Insecta; Hymenoptera; Colletidae. The transcript is spliced from 3 exons. The record is from RefSeq and is a predicted model, not a curated record.